UACGUAGGGUGCAAGCGUUGUCCGGAAUUAUUGGGCGUAAAGAGCUCGUAGGCGGUUUGUCGCGUCUGCUGUGAAAACGUGAGGCUCAACCUCGCGCCUGCAGUGGGUACGGGCAGACUAGAGUGCGGUAGGGGAGAUUGGAAUUCCUGGUGUAGCGGUGGAAUGCGCAGAUAUCAGGAGGAACACCGAUGGCGAAGGCAGAUCUCUGGGCCGUAACUGACGCUGAGGAGCGAAAGCGUGGGGAGCGAACAGG
Molecule: ribosomal RNA, 253 nt
Filed under: uncultured bacterium
Lineage: Bacteria
Description: partial 16S ribosomal RNA
Rfam family: Bacterial small subunit ribosomal RNA
Source: RNAcentral